AAUGCUUGUUGGUGGAAGAAGUGAAGAAAGAGAGUUUAUGGUGGCAGAGAGAUUUAAAGUUGUGGCUUUAAUGGCUUGUGUUAUGUGUUUAUGUAAUGCUGAUAGAGUUGUUAUGUCUGUUGCUAUUGUUCCUUUAGCUGCUAAACAUGGAUGGAGCAGUGCUUUUUUGGGUAUUGUUCAGUCAUCUUUCCUCUGGGGUUACAUAUUUUCAUCGGUGAUUGGAGGAGCGUUAGUUGACAAAUAUGGAGGAAAGAAAGUGAUUGCUUGGGGUGCAGCUCUUUGGUCUCUGGCCACUCUCCUUACUCCAUGGGCAGCAAAUCACUCCACAGUCAGUCUCUUGGCAAUUCGUGCUUUCUUUGGUCUUGCUGAAGGAGUAG
Molecule: unclassified non-coding RNA, 377 nt
Filed under: Hevea brasiliensis (rubber tree)
Lineage: Eukaryota; Viridiplantae; Streptophyta; Magnoliopsida; Malpighiales; Euphorbiaceae
Source: RNAcentral